Molecule: ribosomal RNA, 225 nt
Filed under: uncultured bacterium
Lineage: Bacteria
Description: partial 16S ribosomal RNA
Rfam family: Bacterial small subunit ribosomal RNA
Source: RNAcentral
GACGAACGCUGGCGGCGCGCCUAACACAUGCAAGUCGAGCGAGAACCAUUCCUUCGGGAAUGGGGACAGCGGCGAACGGGUGAGUAACACGUGGGUAAUCUACCCUCGGUUCUGGGAUAGCCCGGGGGAAACCCGGAUUAAUACCGGGAUAGCCUCUUUGGGGCCCUUCGGGUUCUUGUAGAAAAGGUAAGCUUCGGCCUCCGACUGAGGAUGAGCCGCGGCGGA